AUUGAACGCUGGCGGCAGGCUUAACACAUGCAAGUCGAGCGGGGGAAGGUAGCUUGCUACCGGACCUAGCGGCGGACGGGUGAGUAAUGCUUAGGAAUCUGCCUAUUAGUGGAGGACAACAUCUCGAAAGGGAUGCUAAUACCGCAUACGUCCUACGGGAGAAAGCAGGGGAUCUUCGGACCUUGCGCUAAUAGAUGAGCCUACGUCGGAUUAGCUAGUUGGUGGGGUAAAGGCCUACCAAGGCGACGAUCUGUAGCGGGUCUGAGAGGAUGAUCCGCCACACUGGGACUGAGACACGGCCCAGACUCCUACGGGAGGCAGCAGUGGGGAAUAUUGGACAAUGGGGGGAACCCUGAUCCAGCCAUGCCGCGUGUGUGAAGAAGGCCUUAUGGUUGUAAAGCACUUUAAGCGAGGAGGAGGCUAAUCUAGUUAAUACCUAGGGAUAGUGGACGUUAUUCGCAGAAUAAGCACCGGCUAACUCUGUGCCAGCCGCCGCAGUAA
RNAcentral lists this ribosomal RNA (501 nucleotides) under uncultured bacterium. Its description in RNAcentral is "partial 16S ribosomal RNA". It matches the Rfam family "Bacterial small subunit ribosomal RNA", at positions 30 to 523 of the family's 1533-position model. The record is from RNAcentral.